This 679-nucleotide ribosomal RNA is filed under the name Bacillus aerius. Its description in RNAcentral is "bacterial SSU rRNA". It matches the Rfam family "Bacterial small subunit ribosomal RNA", at positions 431 to 1101 of the family's 1533-position model. Lineage: Bacteria; Bacillati; Bacillota; Bacilli; Caryophanales; Bacillaceae. The record is from RNAcentral.
CUCUGUUGUUAGGGAAGAACAAGUGCAAGAGUAACUGCUUGCACCUUGACGGUACCUAACCAGAAAGCCACGGCUAACUACGUGCCAGCAGCCGCGGUAAUACGUAGGUGGCAAGCGUUGUCCGGAAUUAUUGGGCGUAAAGGGCUCGCAGGCGGUUUCUUAAGUCUGAUGUGAAAGCCCCCGGCUCAACCGGGGAGGGUCAUUGGAAACUGGGAAACUUGAGUGCAGAAGAGGAGAGUGGAAUUCCACGUGUAGCGGUGAAAUGCGUAGAGAUGUGGAGGAACACCAGUGGCGAAGGCGACUCUCUGGUCUGUAACUGACGCUGAGGAGCGAAAGCGUGGGGAGCGAACAGGAUUAGAUACCCUGGUAGUCCACGCCGUAAACGAUGAGUGCUAAGUGUUAGGGGGUUUCCGCCCCUUAGUGCUGCAGCUAACGCAUUAAGCACUCCGCCUGGGGAGUACGGUCGCAAGACUGAAACUCAAAGGAAUUGACGGGGGCCCGCACAAGCGGUGGAGCAUGUGGUUUAAUUCGAAGCAACGCGAAGAACCUUACCAGGUCUUGACAUCCUCUGACAACCCUAGAGAUAGGGCUUUCCCUUCGGGGACAGAGUGACAGGUGGUGCAUGGUUGUCGUCAGCUCGUGUCGUGAGAUGUUGGGUUAAGUCCCGCAACGAGCGCAA